This 464-nucleotide ribosomal RNA is filed under the name Porphyromonas gingivalis. RNAcentral describes it as "bacterial SSU rRNA". It matches the Rfam family "Bacterial small subunit ribosomal RNA", at positions 30 to 483 of the family's 1533-position model. Lineage: Bacteria; Pseudomonadati; Bacteroidota; Bacteroidia; Bacteroidales; Porphyromonadaceae. The record is from RNAcentral.
UGAACGCUAGCGAUAGGCUUAACACAUGCAAGUCGAGGGGCAGCAUGAUCUUAGCUUGCUAAGGUCGAUGGCGACCGGCGCACGGGUGCGUAACGCGUAUGCAACUUGCCUUACAGAGGGGGAUAACCCGUUGAAAGACGGACUAAAACCGCAUACACUUGUAUUAUUGCAUGAUAUUACAAGGAAAUAUUUAUAGCUGUAAGAUAGGCAUGCGUCCCAUUAGCUGGUUGGUGAGGUAACGGCUCACCAAGGCGACGAUGGGUAGGGGAACUGAGAGGUUUAUCCCCCACACUGGUACUGAGACACGGACCAGACUCCUACGGGAGGCAGCAGUGAGGAAUAUUGGUCAAUGGGCGAGAGCCUGAACCAGCCAAGUCGCGUGAAGGAAGACAGUCCUAAGGAUUGUAAACUUCUUUUAUACGGGAAUAACGGGCGAUACGAGUAUUGCAGGGAAUGUACCGUAA